RNAcentral lists this ribosomal RNA (251 nucleotides) under uncultured prokaryote. Its description in RNAcentral is "partial 16S ribosomal RNA". It matches the Rfam family "Bacterial small subunit ribosomal RNA", at positions 524 to 774 of the family's 1533-position model. The record is from RNAcentral.
UACGGAGGAUGCAAGCGUUAUCCGGAUUUAUUGGGUUUAAAGGGUGCGCAGGUUGUUUGAUAAGUCAGUGGUGAAAGUCUGUCGCUUAACGGUAGGAUUGCCAUUGAUACUGUUAGACUUGAAUAUGGAUGAGGUAGGCGGAAUGUGUAGUGUAGCGGUGAAAUGCAUAGAUAUUACACAGAACACCGAUUGCGAAGGCAGCUUACUAAUCCAUCAUUGACGCUGAGGCACGAAAGCGUGGGGAGCAAACA